Small nucleolar RNA from Panicum hallii, 107 nucleotides. The record is from RefSeq and is a predicted model, not a curated record. NCBI's taxonomy places the organism in Eukaryota, Viridiplantae, Streptophyta, Magnoliopsida, Poales, Poaceae.
AUUCCAUGAUGAGGACAAUUCAGGAUGUAUUUUUGCAACCUCUUCCAAGCUUCUAGGAUAGAUUCCAUCCCUGUUUGCUGGAAACUUGAGAUUUUCCCAAGCAGAGC